RNAcentral lists this ribosomal RNA (397 nucleotides) under uncultured bacterium. RNAcentral's name for it is "partial 16S ribosomal RNA". It matches the Rfam family "Bacterial small subunit ribosomal RNA", at positions 523 to 918 of the family's 1533-position model. The record is from RNAcentral.
AUACGUAGGGGGCGAGCGUUGUCCGGAAUGAUUGGGCGUAAAGGGCGCGUAGGCGGCGCGGUAAGUCUGGAGUGAAAGUCCUGCUUUCAAGGUGGGAAUUGCUUUGGAUACUGCCGCGCUUGAGUGCAGGAGAGGUUAUCGGAAUUCCCGGUGUAGCGGUAAAAUGCGUAGAGAUCGGGAGGAACACCAGUGGCGAAGGCGGGUAACUGGACUGCAACUGACGCUGAGGCGCGAAAGUGUGGGGAGCAAACAGGAUUAGAUACCCUGGUAGUCCACACUGUAAACGAUGAAUGCUAGGUGUAAGAGGUAUCGACCCCUUUUGUGCCGGAGUCAACACAAUAAGCAUUCCGCCUGGGGAGUACGGCCGCAAGGUUGAAACUCAAAGGAAUUGACGGGG